This is a long non-coding RNA of Lagopus leucura (white-tailed ptarmigan), 477 nucleotides long. RefSeq lists it as uncharacterized. The transcript has 3 exons. NCBI's taxonomy places the organism in Eukaryota, Metazoa, Chordata, Aves, Galliformes, Phasianidae. The record is from RefSeq and is a predicted model, not a curated record.
GGAGCACGUGGGCUGUUCGGAGGAAGUGGAACGCAACAAGGGUGAAGAAUUGGGGCUGUGGGGCAGUGGCAAAAGACCCCUGCUCACCGAUGCAGGCGCACCCUCCCAGAGAUUCCCCUGCCUCCCCAGCUGCCCUUGUGGAACAGGUACAGUGCUCUGCAGGGACAACUGGACAGCGGUGGUGAUGAUGGUUGUCCCGACUUGGUACAGUGGUGUAACUCCCAGAAAGGCAUCGAGGUGAUAUUCACUGGACAGUGUUGGACCCCCUGCCACUGCAGAGCAAUGCAAUUUGGGAGAAGAGGAAGAGUGGAAACGAGUACUGGGUUGGUGAAGUGGGCAUCCCCCAUGCCAGCCAUCCUUGGUUCCCCAGGUGCCUCUGCAAAAUAGGUUUAAGGCCCUGGAACUCAAGUGACAGUGCUGAUCAGCAGCACACGCAGCUGAAAGGCAAAUGCAGCCUGGGAGAGCCAUGCAGCAGAG